Molecule: small RNA, 68 nt
Filed under: Salmonella enterica
Lineage: Bacteria; Pseudomonadati; Pseudomonadota; Gammaproteobacteria; Enterobacterales; Enterobacteriaceae
Description: partial RtT sRNA
Rfam family: RtT RNA
About the family: This family represents a bacterial cis-regulatory element known as RtT RNA. The exact function of RtT is unknown although it is thought that it may be involved in changing the cellular response in relation to amino acid starvation.
Source: RNAcentral
AGCGUUGCCGCAGGCAACGACCCGAAGGGUGAGGACCGGAGCGACGAAUAAUCCUUCCCCCACCAUCA